RNAcentral lists this small RNA (24 nucleotides) under Arabidopsis thaliana (thale cress). Its description in RNAcentral is "ATSL291820". The record is from RNAcentral. Lineage: Eukaryota; Viridiplantae; Streptophyta; Magnoliopsida; Brassicales; Brassicaceae.
UAUAAGCUGUGGGAAGGAGUUGUG